This 253-nucleotide ribosomal RNA is filed under the name uncultured bacterium. RNAcentral describes it as "partial 16S ribosomal RNA". It matches the Rfam family "Bacterial small subunit ribosomal RNA", at positions 524 to 776 of the family's 1533-position model. The record is from RNAcentral.
UACGUAGGGUGCAAGCGUUAAUCGGAAUUACUGGGCGUAAAGCGUGCGCAGGCGGGUUUGUAAGACAGGCGUGAAAUCCCCGGGCUCAACCUGGGAAUUGCGCUUGUGACUGCAAAGCUGGAGUGCGGCAGAGGGGGAUGGAAUUCCGCGUGUAGCAGUGAAAUGCGUAGAUAUGCGGAGGAACACCGAUGGCGAAGGAAAUCCCCUGGGCCUGCACUGACGCUCAUGCACGAAAGCGUGGGGAGCAAACAGG